Molecule: ribosomal RNA, 399 nt
Filed under: bacterium enrichment culture clone ALO1_GLFRUDD03FUCCN
Lineage: Bacteria
Description: bacterial SSU rRNA
Rfam family: Bacterial small subunit ribosomal RNA
Source: RNAcentral
GAGUUUGAUCAUGGCUCAGAUUGAACGCUGGCGGCAUGCCUUACACAUGCAAGUCGAACGGCAGCACGGGAGCUUGCUCCUGGGUGGCGAGUGGCGAACGGGUGAGUAAUGCAUCGGAACGUAUCCUGGAGUGGGGGAUAACGUAGCGAAAGUUACGCUAAUACCGCAUAUUCUGUGAGCAGGAAAGCGGGGGACCUUCGGGGCCUCGCGCUCUUGGAGCGGCCGAUGUCGGAUUAGCUAGUUGGUGAGGUAAAGGCUCACCAAGGCGACGAUCCGUAGCAGGUCUGAGAGGAUGAUCUGCCACACUGGAACUGAGACAGGUCCAGACUCCUACGGGAGGCAGCAGUGGGGAAUUUUGGACAAUGGGGGCAACCCUGAUCCAGCCAUGCCGCGUGAGUG